AGCGCCUUACCUUAGGGUUUCCUCUGGGGUAAGUGAUUGCUUCUACACUGUGAAAAUUUGGCUGAGAGACUCAGACUGGUCAUGGGUAGACCUAUCUGGGGUUUGAUCGAUGCCACUCCUGGUUUCAGGAGCACCCUUCAUAAUAAACCUAGAAAUUCAGUAUUAUAAAGUUUAAUAAAAAACAACUUUUAACAAUGGAUCUCUUGGUUCUCGCAUCGAUGAAGAACGUAGCAAAGUGCGAUAACUAGUGUGAAUUGCAUAUUCAGUGAAUCAUCGAGUCUUUGAACGCAGCUUGCACUCUAUGGUUUUUCUAUAGAGUACGCCUGCUUCAGUAUCAUCACAAACCCACACAUAACAUUUGUUUAUGUGGUAAUGGGUCGCAUCGCUGUUUUAUUACAGUGAGCACCUAAAAUGUGUGUGAUUUUCUGUCUGGCUUGCUAGGCAGGAAUAUUACGCUGGUCUCAGGAUCUUUUUCUUUGGUUCGCCCAGGAAGUAAAGUACAAGAGUAUAAUCCAGCAACUUUCAAACUAUGAUCUGAAGUCAGGUGGGAUUACCCGCUGAACUUAAGCAUAUCAAUAAGCGGA
RNAcentral lists this ribosomal RNA (584 nucleotides) under Rhizopus arrhizus. RNAcentral's name for it is "eukaryotic LSU rRNA". The stretch from base 184 to 337 matches the Rfam family "5.8S ribosomal RNA". Lineage: Eukaryota; Fungi; Mucoromycota; Mucoromycetes; Mucorales; Rhizopodaceae. The record is from RNAcentral.